ACGGAGGAUGCGAGCGUUAUCCGGAUUUAUUGGGUUUAAAGGGUGCGUAGGCGGCGACAUAAGUCAGUGGUGAAAUAUUCCGGCUCAACCGGGAGACUGCCAUUGAAACUGUGUUGCUAGAAUAUGGUUGCUGUGGGUGGAAUGUGUGGUGUAGCGGUGAAAUGCUUAGAUAUCACACAGAAUAUCGAUUGCGAAGGCAGCUCACAAAGCCAUUAUUGACGCUGAGGCACGAAAGUGUGGGGAUCAAACAG
RNAcentral lists this ribosomal RNA (251 nucleotides) under uncultured prokaryote. Its description in RNAcentral is "partial 16S rRNA". It matches the Rfam family "Bacterial small subunit ribosomal RNA", at positions 525 to 775 of the family's 1533-position model. The record is from RNAcentral.